Long non-coding RNA from Gigantopelta aegis, 1224 nucleotides. RefSeq lists it as uncharacterized. The transcript is spliced from 2 exons. Lineage: Eukaryota; Metazoa; Mollusca; Gastropoda; Neomphalida; Peltospiridae. The record is from RefSeq and is a predicted model, not a curated record.
GGACGAAUUAAAGACCUGUUGCUAUUCGGUAAACUACGUGGGGAAAAGGACGAAUUAAAGACCUGUUGCUAUUCGGUAAACUACGUGGGGAAAAGGACGAAUUAAAGACCUGUUGUUAUUCGGUAAACUACGUGGGGAAAAGGACGAAUUAAAGACCUGUUGCUAUUCGGUAAACUACGUGGGGAAAAGGACGAAUUAAAGACCUGUUGCUAUUCGCUAAACUACGUGGGGAAAAGGACGAAUUAAAGACCUAUUAAAUCAGUAAAAUAUGUUGGGAAAUUGCAAUUUAAAGACAUGUUGUUGUUAAUCGGUAAAAUACUUAGCAGCAACGGGUUUCGUCUCUCUCUUUCUAGAGUGAUAUAUCAAGGCGUAGUUUAAUGUGUGCUGGGGUGUGGGCAAACAAACAUUCAUUAGGCUGUCAGGAUUGUUUGGACAGUGAUUCAUGAGUAUACACCAAUACAACUGUCUCGCUCCAACUGUCUUGUGCAGGUUUACAUUUGUCUGGCCAGUUAUGUGAGUGGCAGUCCUCUUAUAGAUGGAGUAACAAUGAGGUAUAGUUAUGGGAAGUAUCAAAGAUGUAGAAAGGAUAUAUCAUCCUGGAAGCUUAGUGCCGAGUUUCUCUGAGGUCCCUGCAUCGUAGGACCGAACCAUCGUAGUGGACUCCUUUCGUCAUUGGGUUUCUCCCCGUCCCAACCAUUGCCCCUCGACUGGUAUAUCAAAGGGCGUGGUAUAGGCUGUCCUGCGGUGAAGCGCAUAUAAAAGAUCCCUUGCUGCUAAUGAGAAAAUGUAGCGGGUUUCCCCUUAAGACUAAUCAAAAUGACCAAAUACUUGAUAUUAGCCGAUGAUUAAUAAAUCAAUGUGCUCUGGUGGUUUUGUUAAACAAAACAAACUUUAAUCCUAAUAGCGAAACACCUGAUCAUAUGAGUAGUCAUAUUGUCAAAACAUCUGUUUGGUUUAGUAUUGUGUAAAGAUACGAUGUUCAGAUUUUCCUACUCUGUCUUAAAUACACACUACAUUGUACAUGUUUUUACCUGUAUCUGUUUUUAACCUACAGGUAAAUCCGAUUUCACCGUAGAAGACCUGAAGAGAGCGGUUCAGUUAAUGGAGGAGAAAUAACUCAAUGUUUUCAGGUGACUGUACACAUCUGUGUUCUGAUGAUGAAGUGCAGACAACAAUCUGACAAGUAGAGAUCAAAGUUCAUUCUAUUAAACGCAGUCGCAGAAA